AUUGAACGCUGGCGGCAGGCCUAACACAUGCAAGUCGAGCGGCAGCGGGACCUUCGGGUUGCCGGCGAGCGGCGGACGGGUGAGUAAUGCCUAGGAAUCUGCCUGUUAGUGGGGGAUAACGCGGGGAAACUCGCGCUAAUACCGCAUACGUCCUACGGGAGAAAGCGGGGGCUCUUCGGACCUCGCGCUAACAGAUGAGCCUAGGUCGGAUUAGCUAGUUGGUGGGGUAAUGGCCCACCAAGGCGACGAUCCGUAACUGGUCUGAGAGGAUGAUCAGUCAGACUGGAACUGAGACACGGACCAGACUCCUACGGGAGGCAGCAGUGGGGAAUAUUGGACAAUGGGCUAAAGCCUGAUCCAGCCAUGCCGCGUGUGUGAAGAAGGUCUUCGGAUUGUAAAGCACUUUAAGUCGGGAGGAAGGGCUGUAGGCUAAUACCUUGCAGUUUUGACGUUACCGACAGAAUAAGCACCGGCUAACUUCGUGCCAGCCGCCGCAGUAA
This 500-nucleotide ribosomal RNA is filed under the name uncultured bacterium. RNAcentral's name for it is "partial 16S ribosomal RNA". It matches the Rfam family "Bacterial small subunit ribosomal RNA", at positions 30 to 523 of the family's 1533-position model. The record is from RNAcentral.